AAUGGAAUUGCUGGAUCAUGUGGUAAUUCUAUGUUUAAUUACAUGAGGAACUUCAAAAGUGUUUUCUUCUACAGCUAUAUCAUUUUGCAUUUCCACCAGUAAU
This 103-nucleotide microRNA precursor is filed under the name Marmota monax (woodchuck). Lineage: Eukaryota; Metazoa; Chordata; Mammalia; Rodentia; Sciuridae. The record is from RNAcentral.